UCAAUACGGCGCUUCUGUUUUUUGUUUUCCCUCCCCAUUUUUUUCCUCGACAUGCUCACCCAAAACCCUAUGGGCUUUGAGACAUAUCUUUUUAAUCAUGCCUCUGCCUUGUUUCUCUUCCGCCAUCCUCGUUGUUGUUAUUUUUCAUCAUCGUUCUUGAAACAACAGGAAGAUAGUGCAGGUCAUUUCAUCACUGUUUCCUCCUCAGUUUUUUGUUAUUGUUUCAUCAUCAGUAGAGUGAUUGGGUAUUUGCUGCAGUGAGUCUCUUCCAGAUUGACGAAUUGAACUUAUUUAUUGGGACGAAAUUAGCGAAAUUUAGUUCUGAAUUGGCGAGAAGAACAACGUGAGUUGGUAAAUUAAUGAUGGAUCAAUACUGGAUGAAUCUUCCUAGAGGAUCAGAGGGUUUUAAAGGAGCUUUGAAUGAUUUUCUUGAUGAUUAGUUUACAAAGGAUGCUAUUGAGGGACAAAUUUAUUGUCCUUGUAAAAAAUGUUCUAUGCGCUUUUGUCAUUCUGGAGAUGUUGUUUAUGAUCAUGUGACUGUUGAUGGGUUCGUAAAGGGAUUUAGGGAGUGGUUAAUGCAGAAGGAAUCAUCUUCAUCUACGAGAAUAAUCGUAGAUAAAUUGGGUCUAAAAGUGAUGAUCUAAAUGCAUGUGAUGAUAUUGAUGGUUUGUUGGAUGAUUUAUUUAGAGAUAUUGAUGGUUUCAAUAGAGCUACUGACGUUGUUGAGUUAAUUUGUCAGUUUGAAAUUAUAUUCCCACCAGCUUUAUUUGAUGUUAUCAUGCACUUACCUAUCCAUUUAGUGGAGGAAAUCAAAUUUGGUGGUCCUGUACAAUAUCGAUGGAUGUACUUUAUUGAAAGGUACCUUGGUAGGUUGAAGUUCUAUGUUCGAAAUAGGAGUUUUCCCAAACGAAGUAUAGCUGAAGGAUAUAUGAUGGAGGAAUGCUUGACAUUUAUUUCUCGAUAUUUACGUGAAGGUGUGAGUACUAGAUUGGACAAAAGAUGUGCUAGAAAGUUCGCAAUGAAUCAAGCAGAAGGUGAAUCUUCUAUUUUCCCUAAGGGAGGACAUCCUAUUGGAAGGAAAAGAAAAGGAAAAGGAUUUUCUUUAGACUUCCAAAGCUUGAAGCCAGCUCAUAGAUAUAUCCUCUUCAAUUGCAACAAUGCAACAAUUGAACAAUACAUUAAAGAACACAAAAUUUGGGUGAAUAGUCAACAAGAUCGAAAGCGUGCUAUAAAGAAAGGUCAUGGGCCGACUAAUAUGUUUGAUGUCCAUGCUCGCAAAUUGGAAGACCGUGUUGCUAUCUAUUAUAAUGACAAAGGACAACCUAUUGAUCCAGAAAAGGCUAGGAAUGAGCUUACUCGAUUCUUAGGAACUAUUGCUCAUGACUACAAUUGGGCCCCUUUAACUUGCACAAAUUAGCAAAAAGUUCCAAAUAAGGACAAAAUAUGGGAUUAUGUGAAAGUGAGUGUUAUUUUUUUUAUGUGUUAUGUAGAUUUUAUUUAUUUUUUUAUUAAUACAUAACCAACUUUUUAUUUUGAGCAAGUAUAUCCUUCCACCUGAAUCUGAAGAGUGGGUAUAUGAAACCCUUGAUCAAUCCUGGAGAAGAUUCAAAUGUAGGUUUAAAAAGCUACAUCAUUAAGCAUAUGAUAGCUAUGAAGAGAGAUUGAAACAUCCGCCAGGAAGAGCACUUGAGGCACAUUUCAAAACACUUCUAGCUUAUUGGGAGACUAAUGCAGCAAAGAAAACAAGUUUGCCAAAUUUGGAAAAUCGCGAAGAGUUAGACAAUAUGCACACAGUUGGUCCAGUAUCAUUUGCCAUGCGUUAUGACAAGAUGUUGCGUGAAAAGGGUAAGGCACCAUAAAAAAGAGAGAUGUUUGAAGAGACACGUCAUCGAAAAGAAGGAAAAGUUUAUGAUCGACCUUAUGAUGAUACGCAAAAAAAGAUACCAUGCGGGAACUGGAGGCAUUACAAGAUGAUCAGAAUAGUGAAUCUCAUAAGGAUUCAUUUGAUGAAGUGAUGGGAAAUGCACCAGGUUCAAAACGAUUACAUGGACUAGAUGUUUCCCAUAAGAUGCAAAAAAAUAAAGAAUUAAGUACAUCUUUAACAUUGCCAGAGGAGGUCAUUGAUUCUAUCAAAAAAGUUGUAAUUGCAGACGUGCAAAGAGAUUUGAUCACUCAUACUGCUGGAAUGGAAAGAGUAUCAAAGGAAUUUGAGUCUCAAGCCUAAAAAUUACCAAAUAUGAGCAAGGAACCUGAAGAACCUGACACUCUUGAUUCAAUUGCUGCUUCACUUGGGCGACUACGGAAAAAAGACCCUAGCUUGACCGCAGAAAUGAUUGCCACAGUAUUGGUAUCUACACUUUCAAGUGAUGCAUAAAUAAUAUUGAGAUACCACUCUCUUUAUUAGUCAUGGAUGCAUUUAGGAUGGUAGAUAUAAGGAGAAAGGUAGAUACAAGAAUGGUAGGAAGGGCAUAAAUUGAAAUUCUUCUGGACGGAUUAUGGACAACUAAAUUAAAUACUACUUCCUCCGUUUCGAAAUAAGUGCAACACUUCUUGUUUUUACGUUUGUCAAUGCAUUAUUUUAACCAUUAAUAUCUUCAAUCAUCAAUAAGUAAAAAUUAUAAAAAUUUGAUAUUAAAAAAAUUCACAUGAAGACGAAUCUAACAAGAUCCCACAUGACUAUGUUUUUUCUAAACCCUAAAUCACCAAAGCUAAUUAAAGUUUAAACUGUGAAUAGUAAACACUAUGCAAAUGUUGUAUUUAUUUAGAAACGGAGGUAGUAUAUAGGUUUUGGAUUGUUUGAACUAUUAGUUCUUUUUGGAGAUUCAUUA
Molecule: long non-coding RNA, 2828 nt
Organism: Beta vulgaris subsp. vulgaris (sugar beet)
Lineage: Eukaryota; Viridiplantae; Streptophyta; Magnoliopsida; Caryophyllales; Amaranthaceae
Exons: 9
Source: RefSeq, a predicted model, not a curated record